GCAUACCUACUCUGAGCAUGCAGUCGAACGCGUUGGCCUAAUUGAUUGAUGGUGCUUGCACCUGAUUGAUUUUGGUCGCCAACGAGUGGCGGACGGGUGAGUAACACGUAGGUAACCUGCCCAGAAGCGGGGGACAACAUUUGGAAACAGAUGCUAAUACCGCAUAACAACGUUGUUCGCAUGAACAACGCUUAAAAGAUGGCUUCUCGCUAUCACUUCUGGAUGGACCUGCGGUGCAUUAGCUUGUUGGUGGGGUAAUGGCCUACCAAGGCGAUGAUGCAUAGCCGAGUUGAGAGACUGAUCGGCCACAAUGGGACUGAGACACGGCCCAUACUCCUACGGGAGGCAGCAGUAGGGAAUCUUCCACAAUGGGCGCAAGCCUGAUGGAGCAACACCGCGUGAGUGAAGAAGGGUUUCGGCUCGUAAAGCUCUGUUGUUAAAGAAGAACACGUAUGAGAGUAACUGUUCAUACGUUGACGGUAUUUAACCAGAAAGUCACGGCUAACUACGUGCCAGCAGCCGCGGUAAUACGUAGGUGGCAAGCGUUAUCCGGAUUUAUUGGGCGUAAAGAGAGUGCAGGCGGUUUUCUAAGUCUGAUGUGAAAGCCUUCGGCUUAACCGGAGAAGUGCAUCGGAAACUGGAUAACUUGAGUGCAGAAGAGGGUAGUGGAACUCCAUGUGUAGCGGUGGAAUGCGUAGAUAUAUGGAAGAACACCAGUGGCGAAGGCGGCUACCUGGUCUGCAACUGACGCUGAGACUCGAAAGCAUGGGUAGCGAACAGGAUUAGAUACCCUGGCUAGUCCAUGCCGUAAACGAUGAGUGCUAUGUGUUGGAGGGUUUUCCGCCCUUCAGUGACCGGAGCUAAACGCAUUUAAGCACUCCUGCCUGAGGAGUACGACGCAUGGCUGAAACUUCAUAUGGAAUGGACGUGGUCCGCACAAGCGGUUGCAAGCAUGUGAUUUAAUUCGUAAGCUACGCGGAGAUCCUACCUAGGCC
This 995-nucleotide ribosomal RNA is filed under the name Limosilactobacillus fermentum. RNAcentral describes it as "bacterial SSU rRNA". It matches the Rfam family "Bacterial small subunit ribosomal RNA", at positions 1 to 980 of the family's 1533-position model. Lineage: Bacteria; Bacillati; Bacillota; Bacilli; Lactobacillales; Lactobacillaceae. The record is from RNAcentral.